GCCUGACUGGCUGAGUUAUUAGAGCAUGUGACUCUUGAUCUCAGGGUCAUGAGUUCGAGCCUCAUGUUAGGCA
This 73-nucleotide transfer RNA is filed under the name Ursus americanus (American black bear). It matches the Rfam family "tRNA". From Rfam's summary of the family: Transfer RNA (tRNA) molecules are approximately 80 nucleotides in length. Their secondary structure includes four short double-helical elements and three loops (D, anti-codon, and T loops). RNAcentral also lists the same sequence under 2 other names. The record is from Rfam by way of RNAcentral. Lineage: Eukaryota; Metazoa; Chordata; Mammalia; Carnivora; Ursidae.